RNAcentral lists this ribosomal RNA (293 nucleotides) under uncultured bacterium. RNAcentral's name for it is "partial 16S ribosomal RNA". It matches the Rfam family "Archaeal small subunit ribosomal RNA", at positions 455 to 747 of the family's 1478-position model. The record is from RNAcentral.
GUGCCAGCCGCCGCGGUAAUACCGGCAGCCCGAGUGAUGGCCGAUCUUAUUGGGCCUAAAGCGUCCGUAGCUGGCUGCGCAAGUCCGUCGGGAAAUCCACCUGCCCAACAGGUGGGCGUCCGGCGGAAACUGUGCGGCUUGGAACCGGAAGGCUCAGAGGGUACGUCCGGGGUAGGAGUGAAAUCCCGUAAUCCUGGACGGACCACCGGUGGCGAAAGCGCCUCGAGAGGACGGACCCGACAGUGAGGGACGAAAGCCAGGGUCUCGAACCGGAUUAGAUACCCCUGUAGUCC